UACGUAGGGUGCGAGCGUUGUCCGGAAUUAUUGGGCGUAAAGAGCUCGUAGGCGGUUUGUCGCGUCGGCCGUGAAAACUUGGGGCUUAACCCCAAGCCUGCGGUCGAUACGGGCAGACUUGAGUUCGGCAGGGGAGACUGGAAUUCCUGGUGUAGCGGUGAAAUGCGCAGAUAUCAGGAAGAACACCCGUGGCUAAGGCGGUUCUCUAGUACGGUACUGACGCUGAGACGCGAAAGCGUGGGGAGCGAACAGG
RNAcentral lists this ribosomal RNA (253 nucleotides) under uncultured bacterium. Its description in RNAcentral is "partial 16S ribosomal RNA". It matches the Rfam family "Bacterial small subunit ribosomal RNA", at positions 524 to 776 of the family's 1533-position model. The record is from RNAcentral.